Pelobates cultripes (western spadefoot toad) is the source of this 340-nucleotide non-coding RNA. NCBI's taxonomy places the organism in Eukaryota, Metazoa, Chordata, Amphibia, Anura, Pelobatidae. The record is from the annotation of a GenBank genome assembly.
AACAGAGUAUUAGCUAACUAGUAUCAAGUAAUAAGGGAGUAUGGAGAACAGAGUAUUAGCUAACCAGUAUGGAAUAAUAAGGGAGUAUGGAGAACAGAGUAUUAGCUAACUCAUAUCGAGUAAUAAGGGAGUAUGGAGAGCAGAGUAUUAGCUAACCAGUAUGGAGUAAUAAGGGAGUAUGGAGACCAGCGUAUUAGUUAACCAGUAUCCAACAAUAAGGGAGUAUGGAGAGCAGAGUAUUAGCGAACCAGUAUCGAGAAAUAAGGGAGUACGGAGAGCAGAGUAUUAGCUAACCAGUAUCGAGUAAUAAGGGAGAAUGGAGAGCAGAGUAUUAGCUUAC